This 185-nucleotide unclassified non-coding RNA is filed under the name uncultured fungus. RNAcentral describes it as "sequence contains ITS1". Lineage: Eukaryota; Fungi. The record is from RNAcentral.
UUAAUUUAUUUGUAUAGAUACUCAGACACUUAAAAUAGCGAAUUUGUGAUAACCUCCGGUAGGCACCUAACGGCUACAGCCCCGCCCUGGGGCCGCCUACCGAAGCAACAAAAGGUAUAUUUAACAGUGGGUUGGGGAGUUGUAAAGCUCCUGUAAUGAUCCCUCCGCUGGUUCACCAACGGAGA